UUUAGUUGUUAGCAUGUCUCUGAAAUUACUCUGUGUGUGUGUGUGUGUGUGUGUGAAUGUAUAGUUAGCAUUUAUUUGUAUAUAUUCUGAUUCUUCCCAGUAGAAUGUAGAAUCCUUAAGGGGAAAAACUCUGUUUUUGUCUAACCAAACCCAGUGUCUAGCCCAUAGUAUUAUAAGAAUGGUGGACUGAACCUAUGGUUUUCUUGGUAGAGAGGACGUCUAAGCAAGGAAACUCUCUCUACCAAUUCUGGUAGGCACCUUCUACAACUUACAGCCUUAGAAAGUUGGCGAGAGGACCAAGAGGCUAAGCAACCUGCCCAGGGUCACAUGGCCAGGAUGCAUCAGAGGAGAGACUUGAACCCAUUUCAUCUUGGCUUUUGAAGAUACCUUUCUAUCCACUAUGGCUUGCUGCCACAUAGUAGGUACUUAAUAAAUACUAAUGAAACAUGAAUGAAAGACUUGGUGUACAGCAGUAAGUCUCUGUGAAGGAAGAGUUCUAUGAGGGUAUGACUUGGCCAUCAUUGGAAAAAACAUUCUUCAUCUCCUACCCAGCCCUAAGAGGCAUGGGAGCAAGAGUGAAAUAAGAGGACAGUGCAGCAUACAGGAAUGAGGAUUGGUGUAAUAUAUUCCCACUUCGAUGCAAAACGAUGUUCCAAAGGUAGUUCUCCACAGAGUCCCAGUGGGAUCCACCUGACUCCAGGGCUCGGUUCUAACCUUGACUGGUAG
RNAcentral lists this long non-coding RNA (726 nucleotides) under Vombatus ursinus (common wombat). Its description in RNAcentral is "lncRNA (ENSVURG00010002453.1)". The record is from RNAcentral. Lineage: Eukaryota; Metazoa; Chordata; Mammalia; Diprotodontia; Vombatidae.